UACAAAUUGAGUAGCGUGCCCUCAUAUUC
Molecule: non-coding RNA, 29 nt
Filed under: Mus musculus (house mouse)
Lineage: Eukaryota; Metazoa; Chordata; Mammalia; Rodentia; Muridae
Source: RNAcentral